AGUGAACGCUGGCGGUAGGCCUAACACAUGCAAGUCGAACGGCAGCACAGUAAGAGCUUGCUCUUACGGGUGGCGAGUGGCGGACGGGUGAGGAAUACAUCGGAAUCUACUUUUUUGUGGGGGAUAACGUAGGGAAACUUACGCUAAUACCGCAUACGACCUACGGGUGAAAGCAGGGGAUCUUCGGACCUUGCGCGAUUGAAUGAGCCGAUGUCGGAUUAGCUAGUUGGCGGGGUAAAGGCCCACCAAGGCGACGAUCCGUAGCUGGUCUGAGAGGAUGAUCAGCCACACUGGAACUGAGACACGGUCCAGACUCCUACGGGCGGCAGCAGUGGGGAAUAUUGGACAAUGGGCGCAAGCCUGAUCCAGCCAUACCGCGUGGGUGAAGAAGGCCUUCGGGUUGUAAAGCCCUUUUGUUGGGAAAGAAAAGCAGCAGGUUAAUACCCCGCUGUUCUGACGGUACCCAAAGAAUAAGCACCGGCUAACUUCGUG
Molecule: ribosomal RNA, 492 nt
Filed under: uncultured bacterium
Lineage: Bacteria
Description: partial 16S ribosomal RNA
Rfam family: Bacterial small subunit ribosomal RNA
Source: RNAcentral